UGAAGUUUCGGAUGGAUGCACUUAGUGGCGGACGGGUGAGUAACGCGUGGGUACCUGCCUCACACUGGGGGAUAACAGUUAGAAAUAGCUGCUAAUACCGCAUAAGACCGCAUGGUAAAAACCCAGGUGGUGUGAGAUGGAUCCGCGUCUGAUUAGCCAGUUGGCGGGGUAACGGCCCACCAAAGCGACGAUCAGUAGCCGACCUGAGAGGGUGACCGGCCACGUUGGGACUGAGACACGGCCCAAACUCCUACGGGAGGCAGCAGUGGGGAAUAUUGCACAAUGGGCGAAAGCCUGAUGCAGCGACGCCGCGUGAGUGAAGAAGUAUCUCGGUAUGUAAAGCUCUAUCAGCAGGGAAGAAAUGACGGUACCUGACUAAGAAGCCCCGGCUAACUACGUGCCAGCAGCCGCGGUAAUACGUAGGGGGCAAGCGUUAUCCGGAUUUACUGGGUGUAAAGGGAGCGUAGACGGCGAUGCAAGUCUGAAGUGAAAGCCCGGGGCUCAACCCCGGGACUGCUUUGGAAACUGUGUGGCUGGAGUGCAGGAGAGGUAAGUGGAAUUCCUAGUGUAGCGGUGAAAUGCGUAGAUAUUAGGAGGAACACCAGUGGCGAAGGCGGCUUACUGGACUGUAACUGACGUUGA
RNAcentral lists this ribosomal RNA (642 nucleotides) under uncultured bacterium. RNAcentral describes it as "bacterial SSU rRNA". It matches the Rfam family "Bacterial small subunit ribosomal RNA", at positions 76 to 749 of the family's 1533-position model. The record is from RNAcentral.